Molecule: small nuclear RNA, 49 nt
Filed under: Pongo abelii (Sumatran orangutan)
Lineage: Eukaryota; Metazoa; Chordata; Mammalia; Primates; Hominidae
Source: RNAcentral
GCUGCACAACUUGUAGUAAUAAGUCAGAAGUUAAAAGGAAAAGGCAAGU